GCGGACAGAUGGGAGCUUGCUCCCUGAUGUUAGCGGCGGACGGGUGAGUAACACGUGGGUAACCUGCCUGUAAGACUGGGAUAACUCCGGGAAACCGGGGCUAAUACCGGAUGGUUGUUUGAACCGCAUGGUUCAAACAUAAAAGGUGGCUUCGGCUACCACUUACAGAUGGACCCGCCCCGCAUUAGCUAGUUGGUGAGGUAACGGCUCACCAAGGCAACGAUGCGUAGCCGACCUGAGAGGGUGAUCGGCCACACUGGGACUGAGACACGGCCCAGACUCCUACGGGAGGCAGCAGUAGGGAAUCUUCCGCAAUGGACGAAAGUCUGACGGAGCAACGCCGCGUGAGUGAUGAAGGUUUUCGGAUCGUAAAGCUCUGUUGUUAGGGAAGAACAAGUACCGUUCGAAUAGGGCGGUACCUUGACGGUACCUAACCAGAAAGCCACGGCUAACUACGUGCCAGCAGCCGCGGUAAUACGUAGGUGGCAAGCGUUGUCCGGAAUUAUUGGGCGUAAAGGGCUCGCAGGCGGUUUCUUAAGUCUGAUGUGAAAGCCCCCGGCUCCACCGGGGAGGGUCAUUGGAAACUGGGGAACUUGAGUGCAAAAAAAGAAAGUGGAAUUCCACGUGAAACCGUGAAAAUGCGUAGAGAAUGUGGAGGAACACCAGUGGGCAAGGCGACUCUCUGG
Molecule: ribosomal RNA, 686 nt
Filed under: Bacillus sp. XXX
Lineage: Bacteria; Bacillati; Bacillota; Bacilli; Caryophanales; Bacillaceae
Description: bacterial SSU rRNA
Rfam family: Bacterial small subunit ribosomal RNA
Source: RNAcentral